GGGGAUGUGGCUUAGUGGUAGAGUGCUUGCUUAGCAUGCAUGAAGCCCUGGGUUCGAUUUCUCAGCUCCCCCC
RNAcentral lists this transfer RNA (73 nucleotides) under Dipodomys ordii (Ord's kangaroo rat). It matches the Rfam family "tRNA". From Rfam's summary of the family: Transfer RNA (tRNA) molecules are approximately 80 nucleotides in length. Their secondary structure includes four short double-helical elements and three loops (D, anti-codon, and T loops). The record is from Rfam by way of RNAcentral. Lineage: Eukaryota; Metazoa; Chordata; Mammalia; Rodentia; Heteromyidae.